GUGUGUAGCCAUACCCCUCCUGACCGCACCCGAUCUCAUCUUAUCUUGGAAGUUAAGUAGGGUCAGGUCUGGUGAGUACGUGGAUGGGAAAACCCCAACUUAAAACUGCACACA
RNAcentral lists this ribosomal RNA (114 nucleotides) under Carlito syrichta (Philippine tarsier). The record is from RNAcentral. Lineage: Eukaryota; Metazoa; Chordata; Mammalia; Primates; Tarsiidae.